CUAUAAACAAUGGACUGCGGGUUUAUUCAGCCAAGGACUUUUUUGUAAAAAUACCGCGGCGUAAAUUUCGACAGAAGCAAUAGCCUCUUUAUUAUUACUAGUACAUUGCCCGUGCGUUGCCACGGGGUACAAAUAUUCUACUGAUCCAACUUCAAUUGUAUUCUAGUGGUCCAACUCGAAUUGUGUGAAACAUACAUCUUUAUGAUCCUCAUGCACAUUAAGCAACAUUUGUUUUUCUCUACCGACUUCUUCGUCGUCGUCGUCCCCCUCUCCCUCUUCACCCACUACUGCAUCCCCACUCUAAGCUCACUACCACCAUUAGUGGCGCAUCCCGCUUAGAAUCAUCAAACCUUCCACAUCCACACAAUUAAUUUCGAAGGAUUAUUUUGCCGGUUUCUUCUCCUUUCAGAAUCGUCAAACAAUAAUAUUAACAU
Molecule: long non-coding RNA, 434 nt
Filed under: Hordeum vulgare
Lineage: Eukaryota; Viridiplantae; Streptophyta; Magnoliopsida; Poales; Poaceae
Description: long non-coding RNA (HVUL_LNC009952)
Source: RNAcentral